Molecule: ribosomal RNA, 459 nt
Filed under: uncultured bacterium
Lineage: Bacteria
Description: partial 16S ribosomal RNA
Rfam family: Bacterial small subunit ribosomal RNA
Source: RNAcentral
CCUACGGGAGGCAGCAGUGAGGAAUAUUGGUCAAUGGGGGCAACCCUGAACCAGCCAAGUCGCGUGAAGGAAGACGGUCCUAUGGUUUGUAAACCUCUUUUAUCGGGGAGCAAAAGACGCCACGCGUGGCGUUCCGAAAGUACCCCAAGAAAAAGGAUCGGCUAACUCCGUGCCAGCAGCCGCGGUAAUACGGAGGAUCCGAGCGUUAUCCGGAUUUAUUGGGUUUAAGGGGUGCGCAGGCGGAAGCUCAAGCUGGCGGUAAAAUUGGGAGGUUCAACCUCGUCGUGCAGUUGAAACUGGUGGUCUUGAGUGAGUGAGAGGUAGGCGGAAUGCGUGGUGUAGCGGUGAAAUGCAUAGAUAUCACGCAGAACUCCGAUUGCGAAGGCAGCCUACCGGAGCGUAACUGACGCUCAGGCACGAAAGUGUGGGUAUCGAACAGGAUUAGAUACCCUUGUAGUC